AGUUAGGAACGUCCAGCUGUGGUUGAAUUUCUGUUGAACUGAAUUUUAUGGCAUUAAUUACUGACUUGCCCGAGUUGGACUCAUUAAGAAAAAAUGUCUCAGUACAAAUCUGAGAGAGCUCACAGUGAAGAGACGUUCUUCAGUUUCAAAUGAGACUUUGGACUGUUGGUAGUGUUGGGCAUGAUGAAGAUCAUGAGGACUUUUAAGGUUGAACUGAAUGUAUUUUGCGUUAUGUGAUGGCCAUGAGUCUAUAGGAGCCAGGCAUGGAAUGUAGUAUUUAGAAAGUAAAGUCUACCCUCCUAGGCUCAUGAGUUUUUGAUUAAGCUUUAUACUUGACAUUGAGUUUUGGAGCCUGGAUGGAAGAUAUAAGUCACUGAGGGUGGGCCUUGGGGCUUUAUAGCUCAGCCCACCCUUGCUAGUAUUAGCUAUCUCACUCUUGUUGCAUCCUCCCAACUGAUAUGACAAGAUGUGACUCCCUGUUGCUUGUUCAAGUCAUUAUUUCGCUCAUGA
Jaculus jaculus (lesser Egyptian jerboa) is the source of this 510-nucleotide long non-coding RNA. RefSeq lists it as uncharacterized. NCBI's taxonomy places the organism in Eukaryota, Metazoa, Chordata, Mammalia, Rodentia, Dipodidae. The record is from RefSeq and is a predicted model, not a curated record. The transcript is spliced from 3 exons.